This 253-nucleotide ribosomal RNA is filed under the name uncultured bacterium. RNAcentral describes it as "partial 16S ribosomal RNA". It matches the Rfam family "Bacterial small subunit ribosomal RNA", at positions 524 to 776 of the family's 1533-position model. The record is from RNAcentral.
UACGUAGGUGGCAAGCGUUGUCCGGAAUUAUUGGGCGUAAAGCGCGCGCAGGCGGUCCUUUAAGUCUGAUGUGAAAGCUCACGGCUCAACCGUGGAGGGUCAUUGGAAACUGGAGGACUUGAGUACAGAAGAGGAAAGCGGAAUUCCACGUGUAGCGGUGAAAUGCGUAGAGAUGUGGAGGAACACCAGUGGCGAAGGCGGCUUUCUGGUCUGUAACUGACGCUGAGGCGCGAAAGCGUGGGGAGCAAACAGG